This 358-nucleotide ribosomal RNA is filed under the name uncultured bacterium. Its description in RNAcentral is "bacterial SSU rRNA". It matches the Rfam family "Bacterial small subunit ribosomal RNA", at positions 43 to 394 of the family's 1533-position model. The record is from RNAcentral.
ACAGGCUUAACACAUGCAAGUCGAGGGGCAGCAUUGGAGUAGCAAUACUUCAGAUGGCGACCGGCGCACGGGUGAGUAACACGUAUCCAACCUGCCGCUUACUCGGGGAUAGCCUUUCGAAAGAAAGAUUAAUACCCGAUGGUAUAAAGAGUUCGCAUGUUCUCUUUAUUAAAGAAUUUCGGUAAGCGAUGGGGAUGCGUUCCAUUAGAUAGUUGGCGGGGUAACGGCCCACCAAGUCUACGAUGGAUAGGGGUUCUGAGAGGAAGGUCCCCCACAUUGGAACUGAGACACGGUCCAAACUCCUACGGGAGGCAGCAGUGAGGAAUAUUGGUCAAUGGACGCGAGUCUGAACCAGCCA